UGGGGAAUAUUGCACAAUGGGCGCAAGCCUGAUGCAGCCAUGCCGCGUGUAUGAAGAAGGCCUUCGGGUUGUAAAGUACUUUCAGCGGGGAGGAAGGGAGUAAAGUUAAUACCUUUACUCAUUGACGUUACCCGCAGAAGAAGCACCGGCUAACUCCGUGCCAGCAGCCGCGGUAAUACGGAGGGUGCAAGCGUUAAUCGGAAUUACUGGGCGUAAAGCGCACGCAGGCGGUUUGUUAAGACAGAUGUGAAAUCCCCGGGCUCAACCUGGGAAAUGCAUCUGAUACUGGCAAGCUUGAGUCUCGUAGAGGGGGGUAGAAUUCCAGGUGUAGCGGUGAAAUGCGUAGAGAUCUGGAGGAAUACCGGUGGCGAAGGCGGCCCCCUGGACGAAGACUGACGCUCAGGUGCGAAAGCGUGGGGAGCAAACAGG
This 429-nucleotide ribosomal RNA is filed under the name Chloroflexota bacterium. RNAcentral's name for it is "Chloroflexi bacterium partial 16S ribosomal RNA". It matches the Rfam family "Bacterial small subunit ribosomal RNA", at positions 355 to 776 of the family's 1533-position model. Lineage: Bacteria; Bacillati; Chloroflexota. The record is from RNAcentral.